UCCCCUUUCCUUAGAGAAAUCUUGAAUCUGA
This 31-nucleotide non-coding RNA is filed under the name Rattus norvegicus (Norway rat). Lineage: Eukaryota; Metazoa; Chordata; Mammalia; Rodentia; Muridae. The record is from RNAcentral.